UGGACAGAUUAUUGUAUUCGAUUGUAUUCGACAGUAUUCACUGCGUGAAACAGGGGAUUACACUGUUUUUAAAUAGAAAGUGAAUCAAUUAACAUAAUAGACUCCU
RNAcentral lists this microRNA precursor (106 nucleotides) under Nicotiana attenuata. RNAcentral describes it as "MIR6152 microRNA precursor family". It matches the Rfam family "MIR6152 microRNA precursor family". Lineage: Eukaryota; Viridiplantae; Streptophyta; Magnoliopsida; Solanales; Solanaceae. The record is from Rfam by way of RNAcentral.